Long non-coding RNA from Ostrea edulis (European flat oyster), 381 nucleotides. RefSeq lists it as uncharacterized. The record is from RefSeq and is a predicted model, not a curated record. The transcript is spliced from 3 exons. Lineage: Eukaryota; Metazoa; Mollusca; Bivalvia; Ostreida; Ostreidae.
UACUCAGGGACAGAAUGAUGUGCAGCAAGGCUCGUCAUGGAUUUUACCAAAUACAGAACACUGCAAGGCUUGCAAAAUGAAGACCUCAGUAAAAAAAAUUCUAAAUUAUCCACUGAUGGCAGCUCACUACCUGUCCCUAGUGAUGUUAAAAGAGACUGUUGUUCUCAUUUGUUCCAAAACAGGAAUGCCAUAUGAGGAGGCCAACAGAUGAUGCAUCUCCACUGAGUGGACACUCACAAAACGAAUAAAUUAUUAUUAUUUCUUUUUUGUUUGUAAUUGUAUAUUGUCAACAAGGUCAAAGGCACUUGAUCCGAUGCCAAACUUUUGCAUUUCUUUUGAUUUGUGGUAAAUUUUCUUCAGCAACAUUAACAUUGUUUAAAU